CAAACUAUGGAUAUUAUGAUGUCAUAGAGACAAGUCUCACAAGGGGAGGCAGUACAUCUGAGCAGGAAAGGGAAGAAAGCUGGAAAUAAUAUGGUCAAUAAACUACCUUUCAGCAAUCAAGUAUAGAUGGAAAAAAAUUCUGUAGGCGCAUGAGGACAGCCAGGAGAGAAAGAGGAUUUGCACCACAUUUAAUCAUCAGAAAAAGAGAAGAACAUAUUCUGCAAUCGCUCGUGCAAUAAGAAGUUCAAACAAACUUACGGCGAUGUAUGCUGUGGUGGAGGAGGAAAUGGACUCAUGGGUGGAAACCUGUGGAAAGGAGUGGGAUGCACAGCCAAGAAAAUGCUUCCAGGUCCUGGGUUGUAUAAUGAAUCUCCAUAUUCAGAUGCAGUAUACCUUGGCAUGGAAGAAAAAGAACGCAGUUACCCAUACUGCCACCUUAUGUUCAGGACAAGAUGACUUUGGAUAUAUGAGGGCAAAAUGUAGAUCAUUGCGUAACUCCAUCUCAAUCUCUCUUUCAGCAUUUAGAAUUCUAUUAGUUCACCACCACCAUCAGAAUAACUCAGCUGGAAUAAAUUUCAGCACAUUGAGAAGUCAGCAUAGGCACACCAGUCAUGGGCAGGGAUGGCAACAGCCUACACUGAUGUCUUCACGUGUGGCACAGCUCGCCAACAGUCAUGCCAGGGCAAUUUGCCAGUUGGAAUACAUCCAAAAUACCAACAUGCCUUAGCUAGAAGCCGGCACAGGUUUUCUGUGGGGCCAGAUAGGUUGAAGAGGAUUCAGACCUUGUAAAUAAGUAUGACUUGAGGAGACAGGGAAGAGAGAUGAAAUCAAAAACUGAACAUCUCCUGGUUGUACAACUGCAAUCCGGAGUGGGCAAGCAAGCUGUUUCUCCCAAUACUACGUCAAACAAUAUUUUUAAAAUCACCAAAUUUGUAAAGAUGUUUUCUCCCUUUAAUGAGAUUUCUCCCUAUGCAUGUUCACUCAUAAGGAAAUGCUAAGGUGAGGAAAUUGAAACCACUUGGCACAUACUCAGUAAAACUGGAAGUAUUUCAUAUAAUUAAGUUUACGUAUUGAAAUGCUGCUUUGCAGUAAUGUGCAGGAAGCAUAUGCUCAUGCGAGCAAUCAGUAAGAAUACGGAAUGGCCUAGUAAUGCUUUCAGCACUAAAAGCAUCCCAUGACUGUGUCUACUGAAGCUGAUGUCAUGAUGAAUUUGUUAAUUUUUAAG
RNAcentral lists this long non-coding RNA (1225 nucleotides) under Pogona vitticeps (central bearded dragon). RNAcentral describes it as "lncRNA (ENSPVIG00000025260.1)". Lineage: Eukaryota; Metazoa; Chordata; Lepidosauria; Squamata; Agamidae. The record is from RNAcentral.